GACGAACGCUGGCGGCGUGCCUAAUACAUGCAAGUAGAACGCUGAAGGAGGAGCUUGCUUCUCUGGAUGAGUUGCGAACGGGUGAGUAACGCGUAGGUAACCUGCCUGGUAGCGGGGGAUAACUAUUGGAAACGAUAGCUAAUACCGCAUAAUAGUAGAUGUUGCAUGACAUUUGCUUAAAAGGUGCAAUUGCAUCACUACCAGAUGGACCUGCGUUGUAUUAGCUAGUUGGUGGGGUAACGGCUCACCAAGGCGACGAUACAUAGCCGACCUGAGAGGGUGAUCGGCCACACUGGGACUGAGACACGGCCCAGACUCCUACGGGAGGCAGCAGUAGGGAAGCUUCGGCAAUGGACGGAAGUCUGACCGAGCAACGCCGCGUGAGUGAAGAAGGUUUUCGGAUCGUAAAGCUCUGUUGUAAGAGAAGAACGAGUGUGAGAGUGGAAAGUUCACACUGUGACGGUAGCUUACCAGAAAGGGACGGCUAACUACGUG
RNAcentral lists this ribosomal RNA (495 nucleotides) under uncultured bacterium. RNAcentral's name for it is "partial 16S ribosomal RNA". It matches the Rfam family "Bacterial small subunit ribosomal RNA", at positions 28 to 507 of the family's 1533-position model. The record is from RNAcentral.